AUACGUAGGGUGCAAGCGUUAAUCGGAAUCACUGGGCGUAAAGCGCGCGUAGGCCGCUUUGUAAGCCGGACGUGAAAGCCCUCGGCUCAACCGGGGAACUGCGUUCGAUACUGCGAGGCUUGAGUCCUGGAGAGGGUGGCGGAAUUCCGGGUGUAGGAGGGAAAUCCGUAGAUAUCCGGAGGAACACCGGUGGCGAAGCUGGCCACCUGGACAGGUACUGACGCUGGGGCGCAAAAGCGUGGGGAGCAAACAGGAUUAGAUCCCCUGGUAGUCCACGCCGUAAACGAUGGAUGCUAGGUGUCGGGGAGCGAUCCUCGGUGCCGGAGUUAACGCAUUAAGCAUCCCGCCUGGGGAGUACGGUCGCAAGGCUGAAACUCAAAUGAAUUGACGGGG
Molecule: ribosomal RNA, 393 nt
Filed under: uncultured bacterium
Lineage: Bacteria
Description: partial 16S ribosomal RNA
Rfam family: Bacterial small subunit ribosomal RNA
Source: RNAcentral